CGUAGGUGCGAGCGUUGUCCGGAUUUAUUGGGGCGUAAAAGAGCUCGUAGGUGGUUUGUUGCGUCGGGAGUGAAAAACACGCUGCUCAACGGUGUGCUUGCUUUCGAUACGGGCAGACUUGAGGAAGGUAGGGGAGAACGGAAUUCCUGGUGGAGCGGUGGAAUGCGCAGAUAUCAGGAGGAACACCGGUGGCGAAGGCGGUUCUCUGGACCUUUCCUGACGCUGAAGGAGCGAAAAGCGUGGGGAAGCAAAACAGGCUU
Molecule: ribosomal RNA, 260 nt
Filed under: uncultured bacterium
Lineage: Bacteria
Description: partial 16S ribosomal RNA
Rfam family: Bacterial small subunit ribosomal RNA
Source: RNAcentral